UCAAAAUACCUUAUCAAACGCAUAUAACGGUGUCAAUGUUGUUAAACUUACGGGGUGUAACAUCUUUCCCCCCUUUAGAAUAUUCGUCCUCGAAUUUUAAUUCUUGAAGAUCUGCAAAAUUUUCACUAGAGUCUCCUCUGUAAAUUAAACUAAAACUCAAACUAUAUAUGAAGUCUUGAUUAUUCACAACCUUUUGUACUUGAGUAUCUCGUUUCUUCUUCACCUUUACCUUACUUACCUUUCAAUCUCGCAUCGUAUCUUCUGUUUCUUUUGUAAACUCCCUUCAACAUAGGUGGAAAUUACGCCUUAAAGCUCUACUUUGAUACCUGAACCUCUGGUGCAUACAAAAUCUGACGACAACAUCAUACUGACUUCUCACGGCUCAACUCUAUGGCACAAUCUAGAAAUAAAAGAAUGAAAACAUUUUCUAAAUGCCCUAUAGCAUCUCAAUUAUAAAUGUGGCGCAACACCCAUAAGUGAGACUCUACUAGGCACGGCUUCGUAGACUCCCUAGGACACGAACUGCUCUGAUACCACUUUGUCAUGCCCCAACCUUGGGAGGUGUGGCUGGCACCCGGUGCCGCACUGGCCCGAGCGAACCAAUCUAAAACUUAUUCGUUCCUUUUGUAAUUGUCAUGGGCCGACAUGGCCACAACUCGUAAUCUACAAUUGUAAGUGGACAACAUUGUAUCACUGAACCAUUUUACUUAAAAUAUGAAUACAUAUGUGCCGUCAAGGCAUCUUACAUAUUGUACAAAAUGAACCUUUGUCUACAAAGCCUCUAAGAUUAUUCGACAUUAAAUAGGACAGGGUACUGGCCAACCCAUAAUUCUGUAGCAAAACUCUGACACGAUGACUCAUAGACUUGGUUGUACUUCGAAAGAGGUGGAGUCUUACCGAUUAUUCGUUAAAUGUCAAUCUCGUCUACUAUGAGGGCUCGUCAAACUGAUUAUCUAUACCUGCAGGCAUGAAUGCAGCGUCCCCACCAAAAGGACGUCAGUAUGAAUAAUGUACUGAGUAUGUAGGGCAAUAUAGUGAAAACUGAAACUGAACUAAUAAUAUAAUAACUACAAGUAGCUGGAAGUAAAAGAUAAUCUGAAGAUAUGCUUACAUGCUAAUACUGACUCAACUCUCUCAAUAUAUUAAGUAAAAUAGUUGUCCGGCCCUAUAAGGCUCGGUAUAUGUAUAACUGCUCUGCCAUAGUAGGCUCGCUCAUAGGCGCUCGGACAUACUAGGCUCUGUAUCUCAACCAACUUGGCUUGCUCAUUAGGGUUACUAUGACUUAUCCUAAUAUUAAAGUACGGGAUGUAACAUAAAUAACAUAGACAUCCUUUUCUCAAAAUAAUAAUCAAGAUUUAAAAGGAAGUAGGCCCCCUUAAUUUAAGGAGAAAAAUUGUUUAUUUUACUAAACCUUGGUUACUAACUACAUGCUAGUAUGUUUAGACAAGUAUUGAUACAAACAAUUCACAGCUGAUAAUAGCCAUGUAUUUCGAUUAAGCCAUAAUCCACUAGAGCAACUUAUUCUGAUGAUAACUUUCUUAAUCUACACUGGUUAGUAUACUCAAUCGUCAUAACUUAUCAUUUUGCCGACAAAUUAUCUUCCACUCAAUUACUACAAGAAGAAUGAAUAAACAGAAGUUGUACUAAACGUUAACAAAAUGUUCAAUAACACCAAAUAUGAAAUCAUUUGUGAAGCAAAUAUAACAUGAUUUUAAAGAUGUAAGGAGUCAAAACUACAAUUUCAGGAACACCGUCACCGUAACCCGGUGCUUAAUAGAGGUCUACUUAUUCAACCUUUCAUCAAAUAUUCAUGCUAGCAAAGAGACGAAUAAGGAAAGCAAAAGAAAUGAGGAACCAUAAAACAACAUCAUUUGAGAAGCCAAAAACCAAAUUUGAUGAUGACAUGCAUUAAGUAAAUCAUAUGCUAAGGGUGACGAGCAGAUCAUAAAAUGAUCAGAUGAUUAAAUGUAAUGACCAAUAUAAAUGCAAAAUAUUGAUUGAAGGUGAGAAAGAGAACCAGUUUGCUAAUGAGAAUAACUUACAGAGAAGUUAGAAAAUGAAAAGGAAUGUAGAAAUCAUAUCUUGGGUCUCUUUCACAUACCAUCAGUUGUAUUAAAAAUAUCUUUCUUUUGGUUUUGGCAAAUAUGUCAACCUGUCUGGGAUACAUUCUUCAUUUAGAAAAGACGAAAAUCCAAUCAAUUUAUCAAUUCACCUUACUGCCAAAUUAGAUGGUUAUUCCACUCUAUCCUCAAUUAUCAAAGCUAGUCAGCAAGUCAACUACAGUAAUACAAAUCAACACUCACCAAAUUUGACAACAAUAAAGCCGUACAUCUAGACCAUAUUCAUU
This 2347-nucleotide long non-coding RNA is filed under the name Nicotiana tabacum (common tobacco). RNAcentral describes it as "long non-coding RNA (NTAB_LNC018271)". The record is from RNAcentral. Lineage: Eukaryota; Viridiplantae; Streptophyta; Magnoliopsida; Solanales; Solanaceae.